AGGGAUUGUUUGGUCAACAAGCAGAAUGAUUAGUAUUCCAUUACUCUUGGUAGCACAUGAAAUGAGGCUUUUUCCAUUUGGGACAAAAAGAAAAUGUCUACAUUUGCAAAAUCAAAUUUAGUUUCAAUAAGGGGGGGUUCAGUCAAUGCCAUAUGGUGCUAUUUCAAUUUGAAGGAGUAACAUGUGUUCUAACCCACAGAAAAUUUCCCAACUUCAUUCUAUAUUAAUUGUCAAAAACCCACAUGUUUUGCAGCCAAAAAUAUCCAAUCUAAUAUUUGCCAAAAAGAACUCAUUUGUUAACAGCAUGAUAAAUUCUGAUAGUUGAGUUGUCCACAAAUUUACAGAUUGCUUGGAGAUACCAUAAAACGGUGAGGCUGAAUUUUAGGCCAUAAAAAUUAUUAAAUUUCAGCUUAAUGUCCAUUCUAGUUAUAUAAUAAUAAAUACAUAGCAAAUUUCUUUCAGAUGCUCAGAAACAGAAGUUUGUGUACAUGCAAAGGAAGAAUUAAAUAAAACAACCCACCUGAGGGUGCCUCGUGAUCCUCAU
RNAcentral lists this unclassified non-coding RNA (544 nucleotides) under Hevea brasiliensis (rubber tree). The record is from RNAcentral. Lineage: Eukaryota; Viridiplantae; Streptophyta; Magnoliopsida; Malpighiales; Euphorbiaceae.